Molecule: non-coding RNA, 72 nt
Organism: Bos taurus (domestic cattle)
Lineage: Eukaryota; Metazoa; Chordata; Mammalia; Artiodactyla; Bovidae
Source: Rfam
UCCCUGGUGGCUCAGAUGGUAAAGAAUCUGCCUACAAUACAGGAGACCCAGGUUCAAUUCCUGGGUUGGGAA